This is a long non-coding RNA of Felis catus (domestic cat), 956 nucleotides long. RefSeq lists it as uncharacterized. The record is from RefSeq and is a predicted model, not a curated record. Lineage: Eukaryota; Metazoa; Chordata; Mammalia; Carnivora; Felidae. The transcript has 7 exons.
CUAAACCUGCUUACCCAGCCUCACCUGUUUCUUCCUGGAGGAACUGCAAUAAAGCCUCUCAUCCACAGUGUCUCUACCUCCCUGCCUCCUCACGGACGCUUCCUGGUGUGGGGUUUCUUGACGGGUGUGCCCUCCCCGCUGCUUGGGAACGUACAGACAGGAUCUGGGGCACUGCAAGAGAGAACACAUUAACCUUAAACCAUCAUACGCCUAAGGAUCAGAAGCCCAAGAAUCAGAGUCUGAAACUGCUCAGAGAGAUUUCAUUUUCCUUACAAGAUGAAGAUCUAUUCACCAAGAAGAGUCUGUUAUUCAACUGGACAGAGAACUCCUCUCCUGGAUGGCAAUAAGCUGAAGGAAGAUGUUGAAUGAAUAACCCAGGCCAAAGCUAUCAGCAGGUUUCUGUCAAAUAAAUAGAUCAUCCUUCGUACCCCAGAAAGCUGUCAGGCUCAAUACUUUGCAACCAUCUGUGCAUCCUUCUUGCCUUUUCUUCAUCCUCCUGCAUGAGCAGGGCUGAUGACCAUAGAACGGGAGAGAUGCCAGAGGACUGGACACAGAUCUUACUUCCAAUUGGAACUGACUACUCUGUAUGAAAUGAGCUUUAAUCUGACACUGUCCUGGAUUGGGAGCAGUACCUUCAAGUUUAAACUUAGUGGUCCAUUUUGACCUGAACUUCUUACUUAAAAAAAAAAAAUUAUAUCUCUUUGUUCUUGGUAGGGAAAUGUUUUUGUGACACUAUAAUUUGUGUUUCCUUGAUUUAUUACUGAAGGUGAGUAAUUUCUGUCUUGUAUGUAUAACUUCUUUGGCCUAUCUGCUCAGGUUCUUUGUCCCCUCUCCUCACUUUAUUUUUUUUUUUUAUUAGCAUCUUGAUAUUUUUCUUUCUCAUUAAUAAAUAUACACUAUUUAUAUAUUAAAUAUAAUAAACCCUUAUCUAUCAUAUUUGAAUGAUUUUCCCCAGA